GACGAACGCUGGCGGCGUGCCUAAUACAUGCAAGUCGAGCGGACGAAUCGAAAGCUUGCUUUUGAUUCGUUAGCGGCGGACGGGUGAGUAACACGUGGGCAACCUGCCCUGUAGACGGGGAUAACACCGAGAAAUCGGUGCUAAUACCGGAUAACACGAAAUGUCGCAUGACGUUUCGUUGAAAAAGGCGCAAGCCUUUCGCUACGGACGGGGCCGCGGCGCAUUAGCUAGUUGGUGAGGGAACGGCUCACCAAGGCGACGAUGCGUAGCCGACCUGAGAGGGUGAUCGGCCACACUGGGACUGAGACACGGCCCAGACUCCUACGGGAGGCAGCAGUAGGGAAUCUUCCGCAAUGGACGAAAGUCUGACGGAGCAACGCCGCGUGAGCGAAGAAGGCCUUCGGGUCGUAAAGCUCUGUUGUUAGGGAAGAACAAGUAACGCAGUAACUGGCGUUACCGUGACGGUACCUAACGAGAAAGCCACGGCUAACUACGUG
RNAcentral lists this ribosomal RNA (497 nucleotides) under uncultured bacterium. Its description in RNAcentral is "partial 16S ribosomal RNA". It matches the Rfam family "Bacterial small subunit ribosomal RNA", at positions 28 to 507 of the family's 1533-position model. The record is from RNAcentral.